CCUAAUGACCGACUACCUAAUCUACAAUCAUGAUACUACAAUUAUAGAUAAUAACUACAUGCCACGAUUGUUAGUGGGCAUAAAUGCCCACUAACUUCAUGCUUAUGGUCCGAUAAUCAGGAUUAACUAUUUUUUAGUACCAUAAAUAUUGGGAAUGCAUGCUCGACGGUUACACCCAAGUCAUUUAUAAAGGAGAGGUAAAAGAAUAAGCAAUGGUAAG
RNAcentral lists this long non-coding RNA (220 nucleotides) under Elaeis guineensis (African oil palm). RNAcentral's name for it is "long non-coding RNA (EGUI_LNC001903)". Lineage: Eukaryota; Viridiplantae; Streptophyta; Magnoliopsida; Arecales; Arecaceae. The record is from RNAcentral.